GAAAUGCGAUAAGUAAUGUGAAUUGCAGAAUUCAGUGAAUCAUCGAAUCUUUGAACGCACAUUGCGCCCGCCAGUAUUCUGCGGGCAUGCCUGUUCGAGCGUCAUUUCAACCAUCAAGCCCCCGGGCUUGUGUUGGGGACCUGCGGCUGCCGCAGGCCCCGAAAACCAGUGGCGGGCUCGCUGUCACACCGGGCGUAGUAGAUUUUUCGUCUCGCCCAGGGCGUGCUGCGGGUUCCGGCCGUUAAAAAGCCUCUCUUUUAACCCAAGGUUGACCUCGGAUCAGGUAGGAAGACCCGCUGAACUUAAGC
This 308-nucleotide unclassified non-coding RNA is filed under the name plant metagenome. RNAcentral's name for it is "partial contains 5.8S ribosomal RNA, internal transcribed spacer 2, and large subunit ribosomal RNA". The stretch from base 1 to 104 matches the Rfam family "5.8S ribosomal RNA", at positions 50 to 154 of the family's 154-position model. The record is from RNAcentral.